Molecule: ribosomal RNA, 468 nt
Filed under: uncultured bacterium
Lineage: Bacteria
Description: partial 16S ribosomal RNA
Rfam family: Bacterial small subunit ribosomal RNA
Source: RNAcentral
GACGAACGCUGGCGGCGUGCUUAACACAUGCAAGUCGAACGGAAAGGCCCUGCUUUUGUGGGGUGCUCGAGUGGCGAACGGGUGAGUAACACGUGAGUAACCUGCCCUUGACUUUGGGAUAACUUCAGGAAACUGGGGCUAAUACCGGAUAGGAGCUCCUGCUGCAUGGUGGGGGUUGGAAAGUUUCGGCGGUUGGGGAUGGACUCGCGGCUUAUCAGCUUGUUGGUGGGGUAGUGGCUUACCAAGGCUUUGACGGGUAGCCGGCCUGAGAGGGUGACCGGCCACAUUGCGACUGAGAUACGGUCCAGACUCCUACGGGAGGCAGCAGUGGGGAAUAUUGCACAAUGGGCGGAAGCCUGAUGCAGCAACGCCGCGUGCGGGAUGACGGCCUUCGGGUUGUAAACCGCUUUCGCCUGUGACGAAGCGUGAGUGACGGUAAUGGGUAAAGAAGCACCGGCUAACUACGUG